UUUAACAUGAGAGUUUGAUCCUGGCUCAGGAUGAACGCUGGCGGCGUGCUUAACACAUGCAAGUCGAACGGAGUAAUUUCGCUGACGAGACUUCGGUCAAAUCUUGAGAUUACUUAGUGGCGGAC
RNAcentral lists this ribosomal RNA (125 nucleotides) under Lachnospiraceae bacterium. Its description in RNAcentral is "partial 16S ribosomal RNA". It matches the Rfam family "Bacterial small subunit ribosomal RNA", at positions 1 to 103 of the family's 1533-position model. Lineage: Bacteria; Bacillati; Bacillota; Clostridia; Lachnospirales; Lachnospiraceae. The record is from RNAcentral.